RNAcentral lists this ribosomal RNA (300 nucleotides) under Triticum aestivum (bread wheat). RNAcentral's name for it is "partial small subunit ribosomal RNA". The record is from RNAcentral. Lineage: Eukaryota; Viridiplantae; Streptophyta; Magnoliopsida; Poales; Poaceae.
ACUAAAGAAGAAGAGGCUGGCAAACAAGCUUUUCUCGCUCUCUUUGGGUUGAUAGAAGUCCCAACAAUCAAAUUCUUCGGCAAUAAGCUGAUGAAUUUUUGUAUGUCUGACGACCAGAUCAUUAGUUGUUUACUGAUUGUGGCAUUAGCAACAUUUCUCUACCCGACAUCAAACGCUAAACUAAGCACCAAAUAUAUGGGAGCUCUAGUUAAUGUGGAGCAGCUCAAGCAACUAAAUUGGUGCAGGUUUGUUCAUGAUUGGGAGUUGGUGUAUAUAAAAAAAUACCAAAAGGAAAAGCUG